Parus major (Great Tit) is the source of this 233-nucleotide long non-coding RNA. RefSeq lists it as uncharacterized. The record is from RefSeq and is a predicted model, not a curated record. The transcript is spliced from 2 exons. NCBI's taxonomy places the organism in Eukaryota, Metazoa, Chordata, Aves, Passeriformes, Paridae.
CAGUCAUCCACUACAGACUGAAAGAAAACAAAAAAAAAGCAACUGCUCAGUUUUCAUAAAUUGAAGACAUUGUUACUUACCUGCUUUCCAUAGGAACAGAACCUAUGAAUUGGACCUGAGUGGACUGGCCUGAAGGGAAGAAUGAAAUACGGAGAAAACAAAUUGGCUUCUAAAGAAUAUCACCAUGCAAGAAGUAAGAAUUAUAGGAAUGUAAUAAAUAUUUAAACUAGGCA